UCCUGGGCUCAGGAUGAACGCUGGCGGCGUGCCUAACACAUGCAAGUCGAGCGAGAAACCAUCGAUUGAAACUUCGGUAGAUAUUGAAGGCGGAAAGCGGCGGACGGGUGAGUAACGCGUAGGCAACCUGCCCUUUGCAGAGGGAUAGCAACGGGAAACUGUUAUUAAAACCUCAUAAUACCGUAAUGUCAAAUGAUGAAACGGUCAAAGAUUUAUCGGCAAAAGGAUGGGCCUGCGUCUGAUUAGUUAGUUGGUAGGGUAACGGGCCUACCAAGGCAGCGAUCAGUAGCCGACCUGAGAGGGUGAUCGGCCACAUUGGAACUGAGACUCGGUCCAAACUCCUACGGGAGGCAGCAGUGGGGAAUAUUGCACAAUGGGCGAAAGCCUGAUGCAGCAACGCCGCGUGAAGGAUGAAGGCCUUUGGGUCGUAAACUUCUGUCCUUGGGGAAGAAAAAAUGACGGUACCCCUGGAGGAAGUCCCGGCUAACUACGUG
RNAcentral lists this ribosomal RNA (494 nucleotides) under uncultured bacterium. RNAcentral describes it as "bacterial SSU rRNA". It matches the Rfam family "Bacterial small subunit ribosomal RNA", at positions 17 to 507 of the family's 1533-position model. The record is from RNAcentral.